Molecule: long non-coding RNA, 485 nt
Organism: Pogoniulus pusillus (Red-fronted tinkerbird)
Lineage: Eukaryota; Metazoa; Chordata; Aves; Piciformes; Lybiidae
Exons: 3
Source: RefSeq, a predicted model, not a curated record
CUUGGAUUCCUAUUCAUUGUCUCUGUGGUAGAACAAAGGAGCUAACAUACAGCAAAUGAACAUGGUAAUCUCUGCUAAUUCAUGGAUCUAAUGAACUUGUAAGCCAGAUAACAGAUGCCAAUUCUGUAUUAGUAAGAAGAAAAAUCACCUCAAUGAACAGCAGAAUAAGAGAAUAAUCCUGGUUUCUAAUUUCCCCAUUGUGAAGGAUGCUCUUCUGCUGUCCACGUUUCUGACUGAAUACAUAUUUCAUCAAAAGGAAGCCACGUACUCAAAUUUUCAUUAGUUGAGAGAAAUAGAAAGAGAAGGAUUGCAAAAUGAGAGGACUAUUGCCCAUCCUUGUGACAAAACAAAGGACAUGCUACGUCUGGAAGCUUAAAAAUAAGAACAUUAACAUCAUGACUAACAAGAAGCAGCUAUUUUUUUUCAUCUAUUAUAUUAAAGUAAGAACAAAUUAAUAUUCAUAAGCUAGAAGAAGCAAUUUUUCA